RNAcentral lists this unclassified non-coding RNA (229 nucleotides) under uncultured fungus. RNAcentral describes it as "sequence contains ITS1, 5.8S rRNA gene". The stretch from base 181 to 229 matches the Rfam family "5.8S ribosomal RNA", at positions 1 to 49 of the family's 154-position model. The record is from RNAcentral. Lineage: Eukaryota; Fungi.
UCUCCGUAGGUGAACCUGCGGAGGGAUCAUUACCGAGUGAGGGUUCCGGCCCGACCUCCAACCCCAUGUGAACCGCAACUGUUGCUUCGGGGGCGACCCUGCCGGCACUACGUCGCCGGGCGCCCCCGGAGGUCUUCUAAACACUGCAUCUUUGCGUCGGAGUUUAAACAAAUUAAACAAAACUUUCAACAACGGAUCUCUUGGUUCUGGCAUCGAUGAAGAACGCAGC